UGGUUCUGGCAUCGAUGAAGAACGCAGCAAAAUGCGAUAAGUAAUGUGAAUUGCAGAAUUCAGUGAAUCAUCGAAUCUUUGAACGCACAUUGCGCCCGCCAGUAUUCUGGCGGGCAUGCCUGUUCGAGCGUCAUUUCAACCCUCAAGCCCCUCCGGGUUUGGUGUUGGAGAUCGGCGGCGGACCCCCCCGGGGGCCCGGCCGGCUCCCAAAUUCAGUGGCGGUCUCGCCGCGGACUCAUUGCGUAGUAGCUAACACCUCGCAACUGGAACGCGGCGCGGCCAAGCCGUUAAACCCCCAACUUCUGAAUGUUGACCUCGGAUCAGGUAGGAAUACCCGCUGA
RNAcentral lists this unclassified non-coding RNA (341 nucleotides) under uncultured fungus. RNAcentral's name for it is "partial contains 5.8S ribosomal RNA and internal transcribed spacer 2". The stretch from base 1 to 133 matches the Rfam family "5.8S ribosomal RNA", at positions 22 to 154 of the family's 154-position model. Lineage: Eukaryota; Fungi. The record is from RNAcentral.